Molecule: transfer RNA, 72 nt
Filed under: Morchella semilibera
Lineage: Eukaryota; Fungi; Ascomycota; Pezizomycetes; Pezizales; Morchellaceae
Also listed under: 2 other names
Description: tRNA-Val
Rfam family: tRNA
About the family: Transfer RNA (tRNA) molecules are approximately 80 nucleotides in length. Their secondary structure includes four short double-helical elements and three loops (D, anti-codon, and T loops). Further hydrogen bonds mediate the characteristic L-shaped molecular structure. tRNAs have two regions of fundamental functional importance: the anti-codon, which is responsible for specific mRNA codon recognition, and the 3' end, to which the tRNAs corresponding amino acid is attached (by aminoacyl-tRNA synthetases). tRNAs cope with the degeneracy of the genetic code in two manners: having more than one tRNA (with a specific anti-codon) for a particular amino acid; and 'wobble' base-pairing, i.e. permitting non-standard base-pairing at the 3rd anti-codon position.
Source: RNAcentral
AAGGGAUUAGCUCAGUGGUAGAGCGAUUGGUUUACACCCUAUAGGUUGCAAGUUCGAAUCUUGUAUCCCUUA